UCAGUUCAGAUCGUAGGCUGCAACUCGCCUACGUGAAGGCGGAAUCGCUAGUAAUCGCAGGUCAGCAUACUGCGGUGAAUACGUUCCCGGGCCUUGUACACACCGCCCGUCACACCAUGGAAGUUGGCCACGCCCGAAGCCGUUACUCCAACCCUUGUGGAGGAGGACGUCGAAGGUGGGGCUGAUGACUGGGGUGAAGUCGUAACAAGGUAUCCGUACCGGAAGGUGCGGAUGGAUCACCUCCUAA
Molecule: ribosomal RNA, 247 nt
Filed under: uncultured Synechococcus sp.
Lineage: Bacteria; Bacillati; Cyanobacteriota; Cyanophyceae; Synechococcales; Synechococcaceae
Description: partial 16S ribosomal RNA
Rfam family: Bacterial small subunit ribosomal RNA
Source: RNAcentral